CGCAGGUUGGAGAAGUGGCAUCUCGUCACCCUCAUGAGGUGAAGGCCGGUGGUUCGAGUCCACCACCUGCAA
RNAcentral lists this transfer RNA (72 nucleotides) under Caudoviricetes sp. RNAcentral's name for it is "tRNA-Met". It matches the Rfam family "tRNA". Rfam says of the family: Transfer RNA (tRNA) molecules are approximately 80 nucleotides in length. Lineage: Duplodnaviria; Heunggongvirae; Uroviricota; Caudoviricetes. The record is from RNAcentral.